This is a non-coding RNA of Biomphalaria pfeifferi, 345 nucleotides long. The record is from the annotation of a GenBank genome assembly. Lineage: Eukaryota; Metazoa; Mollusca; Gastropoda; Planorbidae.
AAAAAAAAGGGGGGGGGGGGGUUGUCAUUCUCUAGUAGAGAAAAUCUAUGUUUGAUUAACUUUCUGUUUUCUUUAUUGAAAGUCAGGUUAACGUUAUGGGAAAUCAGAAGGUCCUAAAAAUCCAGAUGCCUGUGUUGAAAUCAACAUGAUUCCAACUAGGAGACACCCAUUAGAAAAAUGGUUUAACAAUUGAGGCCACCCUUAUUGAAUAAACUGGUAACAAUUAAAUUUCUUGACAAUAAUCUCUUUCAUAAAUUUGACAAAAAAGUAACAGAAUAAGACAUAUCAUCAUUGACAUGCAUAGUACAGGGUAACAAAAUAAAGCAAAAGAAGAAGAAGAAAAAA